UACGUAGGUCGCAAGCGUUGUCCGGAUUUACUGGGCGUAAAGAGCGCGCAGGCGGCUGGUCAAGUCCGAUGUGAAAUCUCCCGGCUCAACUGGGAAACUGCAUCGGAAACUGAUCGGCUUGAAGAUGGGAGAGGGUAGUGGAAUUCCCGGUGUAGUGGUGAAAUGCGUAGAUAUCGGAAGGAACACCAGUGGCGAAGGCGACUACCUGGCCCAUUCUUGACGCUGAGGCGCGAAAGCUAGGGGAGCGAACGGG
This 253-nucleotide ribosomal RNA is filed under the name uncultured bacterium. RNAcentral describes it as "partial 16S ribosomal RNA". It matches the Rfam family "Bacterial small subunit ribosomal RNA", at positions 524 to 776 of the family's 1533-position model. The record is from RNAcentral.